ACAGAGAUGGAACCGAUUUGGUUUUAAGCUAGGUUACAUUCAUUUUUGUCCAUGUGUCUGCAUAUUUUCACUGAGGGAGAGUACUGUGUUCACCCUCAAAGACUGAUAUGCAGAUAGCAACUUCAGUUUAAACUAUGAUGCUAAUGAGAGCAGAUCAGUCCAUUUCCCCCAUGUGGUUUAUUAAAAUCUUAAUUUCAGACAUCAGUAGAUGAAGAUCCCAAAAUUUGGAAGGACAAAAAAACUCCCACUAACAUCGAAGUAUAUAGUAGUUUUGCUGGGGUAACAGUUGUAGGAUUGGCUCUUUUUAUAGCUUUACUUGCUACCUGUACAGGACUGUUUUCAUUAUUUUCUGAUCGUUUAUCUUAAUGUUGCCAAAUUAACUUUUUUAUUUGGUAAUUAAUAUAAAGAGCUAAGAGAAAUUGUAACCUACUAUCCAUCCAUCUCAUUUUAGCUGAUUAAAAUCAAACCUCAUUUCUUAAAUGCAGGUGGGGGGGGAGAGGGUUUGGCAUUGCACAUCUAAACUUGAAGGGGGAGAGAAUAUAAAAUAAAUAAUCAGUUUCUUUUCUGGAAGUCUUGAACAAGUUUAAACAAAUCGAAAAUGGUAUUCACAAUAAUAGAUACUAAUUAAAAUGUUGAAAGCUGCAUUGGAGAGAAAUGAAAAGGAAUAUUUCGAGCUUCAUCUUCUGCAAUUUGAGUGUGUGUGUGUGCAUGUGUGAAGUUUUUUCAUGUUUGAAGUAAGUGUGGAAGUAUUAUAUACCUUGUGUUAUUUCCCUGAUAAAUGCUAUUGGUAUUUGCCAUUUUAUGUGGUGUUAUUUAAACAGCAGGUGGAGUUGAUUUAUUUCUAAAAGAUAAUACAGAAUGGUUAGAAAUUAUGAAAAAAUGCCAGUGUGCAGAUUCAAGAGCAGUAUUUCCUGUUUGCCUUACCUGGUAACUUUUUUCUACAUAAACCUGAUUCAUAAUGGAGCCAGUUAAAUUUAACAAGUCAAGGUUCCCAGAAUGCUACAAGUAUUUCUACUUGACUAUAUUAUCACUGUUAUCAGUGCCAAAUAUACAAUCUGUGUCUAAACAGCAUUUGCUACCAGAUCUAUGUUAAAAGUGCUAAAAGAAAAAAGCAGGACAUAGGAGUGGAAUGAAGGAUCGGGAUGUGCAAAGGCUGGGAAGCUUUGAGACUGCAUAUGAUUAAUAGAUAACCAGAGUUAGUCUUUUGUAAGAAAACGAGGAGGAGCCAUAUUCCCAUUUGAGGUGCUAGCCUCACCUCACCUACACAGGAAAGAGUACACAUUGCAGCCAUUAAAUGGUUUCCUCUUUGUGCUAUUACUAAGCUUGUUUUAAGGUCUUGGUAGGACCAGGGGCAGACUUGGGGACCUGGGUUGCUAAGUAGAUGGGCCCCCUGGCUUACUCCUACCCUGGCUGGCUUUAGCAGUAGCAGAGACAUGCCUUGCAUACAAGUAGGAUCAAUGACACUAGUCUUAUCCCUCUGUCUCCCUUCCUAGAAGUGCACAGGUGAUAUACCAGGAGAUUCAUGAUGCUUCAUCUGCUUGGUUGGAUGAGCCAAACUCUAGCAUUAGAGUAGCAUUGAAACAGGCUGUCUAGAGAAGUUGUGGAAUUUCCAUCCUGGAAAUUUUCAAGAGCAGGUUAGACAAAGACUUGACUGGGAUGCUUUAGUCAGGGAUGAUCCUGCCUUCAUCAGGAUAGACUAGAUGACCCUUCAAGCCCUACUUUCCUAUGAUCCUACUCUGCUGUGGGAGAGUCAUCCACCCCACAGCACAGUGGGCCAUGAAGUUGAUGUUAUCAUUAUGCAUUGUAGCAAGAUUUUAAAGUCCUAAAGAGAAUGGGAUCAGCAGUGUGGAGGAGGAAUGCAUUUGUUUAUCUAUUAUCUGUCUCUUCACAGAAGUAGAGCACAAGAAUUCAUCAGGAAACACCUAGAAAUAUCCGGGGGGAUUGAAAGGAGCUAUGAAGGAUUGUGGGUUCCAAUCCUGUGUCUGUCUUCCUGACUGUCAAUUUCUGUUGACUGAGAUGAAAGCACAGCUAUCCUUUUUCAAGUAUGGUUUUCAGCCAGAACCACUGAAAGAGAAUGGAAAAUAUGAUGGAUCAUGUUGCACUGUACUGCACAAAAACGCUCGUGUCUGUUAUUAAGUUCCACUAUACCUGUUGCUUUAAUAAAUCUUAACUACUUUUUUUUCCCUAUCCAAACACUUUAUACAUAAGUCUGUCAGCCCAAAGACUAGUUUCAGUUACACAGACCUUGAGUCUAGAGUAGUGCAGUGAAGUUGAUGAAGCUGCUAUGAAUGGUAAGCCACUUAACUGAAAGAAGAAUUAGCUUUGUUCAGUGCUUGAUAGUGAUUAUUUACUAAAGGGUGGUGAUUAUUUACUGGAGUGUAUUUCUUAUGAUAGAAUGUACAUGGCUCCUAUUUAUUGCUGAUUGCUCCGAAAGUUUCACCUCUGAUACUGAGGCAUAUUGGAGAGUAAAAAUAAGUCUCCUUGUGCAUAAGGCAUAAAUGAAAUCAAUUUAAAUGUGUCACUGUGCUCUUACAGCCCCAACAAAAAGUCCCUUAAGGUUUAGUUUUCUCAAGUCUGUGAACUUUACACAAGACUCAAGGUGCUGACAUCCUUGUAUGAUUCAUAAAGAAAUAUUCUGUUUACACAUGAACGUAAGCCUCCAUAAGUUGAGUUUAGAAAUGGUUUGAAUGUGGGGCAGAAAUUAGAUGUAAUAAUGAAAAGCAUUUGAUUUUCCCAGAAAAUGUGUUAGUUACAAGGUCAGCAUCUGAAACUGAUGUACACGUUCUUGUUACUAUAAAUGCUGUUACAGGGCUCCUAAUCCAGAGCUCUCAUUAGGGGGUUUGUCACUCAGCUAUAAAAAACAGUAUAUUGGUAGCAAACAUCUCAGUUUAGAUGGCUUUUUUUAUCAUAAACUAAAUUUUAGAAACAGGAGAGGAUUUUAUUCAGAGGCAUAACAAUCAGGGUGGCAGCAGUGGCAGUAGCCAGGCUAGGUCAGACCAACAGCAGUAGCAGUUGCCACCAUUUUUGCACCCCUUCUGUAUGUCCCAACCUUAGUUGCAGCACUAAAUUUUUUGCCAUUUUAAAAAUGUAAGAACUGAUACAAUAGGUCUUCACAAGUAAAACUCUGAAGUCAUUGAAUGUUUCCCCUACCCAUAGAACUACAUUGUAUAGGUGCAGAAAUAAAGAUCAUCAAGUUGGGAAACUUUGAUUAUAUUAUAAGUUUAAAAAUAGAUAGUUAAAAUAGAUUUGUGAGGAGGAAGUGACUUAAUUCUAAUUGGUUGAUCUGUAAAUAUAGAUUUAAAUCUGUUUGUACAACUAAAGAAAGGGGCUAGUCACAUAAAUAUCAUCACACUAGAUAUUUAUCCUUUUAAACCAUUCCGAUGAGUAUUAAAACUUGUUAACUGAGUAGUGUCCAUUGACUUUUAAUAUCAAAUCUCAUGACUAAAACCCUAUAAAUAUCUGAUAAUAUAGGUAUUUGCUCUUUUGUAAAUCAGUCUUUUCAGUGUGAAGUGAGAGGAAUUCACUGUCUCUCUCCUCCAUAUGGAACAAUAAGGAUGUGUGAGAAUAAGUUUUUCUUUCUUUCAGGAGAGUCUGAAGCCCCCUGCCUUUAUCAGCUAACUCUCAUUCUGUUGUUUGGUAUCAUUGAUCAUAAUGCUCUCCAAAAUCAAUGGAUAAAAUGUUGCAUCUGUCCGGCAAACUUCAUGGGAGUAGUUGUUCCUCUUGGGGUGAAGGGGCAGGAGCUUCAAACAUAUGCAAAAAUAGCUACAUUAGAAUGGGAACCCUGACCAUUUACCUCCCAUAUGCUCACUUUUCAUGUUAGGGAGGCAAUAAUGAGCAUAGGUCUAUAGUAAUAAGCAAGAUCACACUACCUAGCUCAGUAUAUGGCUACACUGCUUCUCUUAGUACCCUGAUUGAACCCGGAAAUGAUGCACAAAUGAUCUUUUGCAGGAGGUAGUUGAGGGCUGAUCUUGCACUCUUUGCAUUUCACUGGCAAUUACUGGGACCUAAAAUACUUUGGUUAUAGUCAGCAUUUUAAAACUUAGAUGGCAAACAUUAUACUUUCAAAAAUUAGGAAAAUUUAUACUUUUAUUUGAAGUGCUGUAACAGUUCUUAAGGCAAAUAAGAACUAUUAGUGCUCAACACCUCUGGAAAUCAGGACGUGUCUUUUGAGGGGGCUAUCUUUCUACAUUUCAAAGUGUUGCCCUUUGUGCUUUAUUUGCAGACCCCUAAUGCAAAGAGCCAUUUAUCUCCAGCAGAUAUGGCUGAUUACUUCAAUCUCCAUAGCUCUGAAUGAUAAUUCAAACACAGUCAGUGUUUCUGCUGUGACAUGUACAUUGUCUAUGUCAUGCAGACUCAGUAGUUCUUAUCAUUUGGACUGCUAAUACUAGCCAUUGCUAGCCAACUGCCCAGUAAGCCCAAUAAGUGGUGGGUAUUGUAUUAAAGUGCACAUGGCCUGCUCAAAAGGAAUAGACUAAACCACUUACCGUCUCUUCUUGGGUUUUUAAACUGUUUAAAGCUUUUAGUCAAAUAAUAUUUACAUUAUAGUUGCUUCUGACCUCAAUGGAGAAUCAGAACUUCAUCACUGCCUUUUUU
Long non-coding RNA from Gavialis gangeticus (Gharial), 4593 nucleotides. RefSeq lists it as uncharacterized. The transcript is spliced from 2 exons. The record is from RefSeq and is a predicted model, not a curated record. NCBI's taxonomy places the organism in Eukaryota, Metazoa, Chordata, Crocodylia, Gavialidae.